This 502-nucleotide ribosomal RNA is filed under the name uncultured bacterium. RNAcentral describes it as "partial 16S ribosomal RNA". It matches the Rfam family "Bacterial small subunit ribosomal RNA", at positions 28 to 523 of the family's 1533-position model. The record is from RNAcentral.
GAUGAACGCUGGCGGCGUGCCUAACACAUGCAAGUCGAACGAAGAACUUUUAAAGUAAUUUUCGAAAUACUUUAAGGGUUUCUAGUGGCAGACGGCUGAGUAAUACAUUGGUACCUACCCCAAAGUGGGGGAUAGCUCAUCGAAAGAUGGGGUAAUCCCGCAUGUGACCGUAAGGUUAAAGCUUUUGCGCUUUGGGAAGGGCCUUUGUCCUAUCAGUUUGUUGGUGAGGUAAUGGCUCACCAAGACUAUGACGGGUAGCUGGAUCGAGAGGUUGACCAGCCAGACUGGGACUGAGACACGGCCCAGACUCCUACGGGAGGCAGCAGUGGGGAAUUUUGGACAAUGGGCGAAAGCCUGAUCCAGCAAUGCCGCGUGCAGGAUGAAGGCCUUCGGGUUGUAAACUGCUUUUGUACGGAACGAAAAGCCCCGGGUUAAUACCCUGGGGUCAUGACGGUACCGUAAGAAUAAGCACCGGCUAACUACGUGCCAGCCGCCGCCGUAA